UCGGCACUGGGAGGUAGCCAGCAGUCUGACAGCAUCAUGGCCAGCACGCUGGGCGGCGUUCCAAGUCCUCCCAGUUUCUUCACUAAGGUCCUGAACCAGACUGCCAUGCAGGUGUACUGGGAGCUGCCCAGCAAGCCGGGGAAGCUGGAGGGCUUUAGACUGGAGUACCGCAGUGUUUCCAACCCAGAAGUGCAGGGGCAGGAAACCUUCCCAGCACACAUCAAUACCCACACCAUCUCCCACCUGGAGCCGGCGGCCAUUUAUGAAAUCCAGCUGGUGGCGUUUAACGGGAACGGAGACAGUCCGUCCAACCGCCGCCUCGUAUCUCUGGCAGACGGAGAGAGAGCUGCAGCAGCUGGUUCAAGCUGUAACUGCGAUCAGUCUGACGGCUCGACAUCCGCUCUGCUGGUCGGCCUUCACAGUGGCCUCGCCUGCAUCCUCUGCUGCCUGCUGCUCGUCCUGCUGGCAUACAGACGCAAGUAAGGCCUUCACUAUCAUCGUCUUCAUCGUCCUCACAGCCACCACAACCAUCAUCGUCCUCAUCGUCCUCACAACCACCACCGCCAUCAUCGUCUUCAUCAUCCUCACAACCAUCACCGCCGUCAUCGUCUUCAUUGUCCUCACAACCACCAGCGCCGUCAUCGUCUUCACAACCACCACCGCCGUCAUCGUCUUCAUCAGACAGUUUUUUCUGCAGGAGGGGGGAGAGCUGGGAGACUCCACCCACUCUGAAUGGCGUCAGUGGUCCUAAAGGUCACACACCGGAGAGCUUCGAGCUCAGCCAGACAUGUGAUUCCACCCUUCCUCCAGUGAUGGUCAUGGUUGAACCUGCUCUACCUGUUCACCUGGACACAGGCACCAGAUAAAACACCACACAUUACCCGAAUACCCCCACCCCCCC
This is a long non-coding RNA of Oreochromis aureus, 901 nucleotides long. The record is from Ensembl. NCBI's taxonomy places the organism in Eukaryota, Metazoa, Chordata, Actinopteri, Cichliformes, Cichlidae.